Molecule: ribosomal RNA, 274 nt
Filed under: uncultured bacterium
Lineage: Bacteria
Description: partial 16S ribosomal RNA
Rfam family: Bacterial small subunit ribosomal RNA
Source: RNAcentral
AUACGGAGGGUGCAAGCGUUAAUCGGAAUUACUGGGCGUAAAGCGCGCGUAGGCGGUCAUGUAAGUCGGGUGUGAAAUCCCCGGGCUCAACCUGGGAACUCCAUUCGAUACUGUAUGACUUGAGUUUGGUAGAGGGGAGUGGAAUUCCACAUGUAGCGGUGAAAUGCGUAGAUAUGUGGAGGAACACCAGUGGCGAAGGCGACUCCCUGGCCCAAAACUGACGCUGAGGUGCGAAAGCGUGGGUAGCAAACAGGAUUAGAAACCCUAGUAGUCC